This 495-nucleotide ribosomal RNA is filed under the name uncultured bacterium. Its description in RNAcentral is "partial 16S ribosomal RNA". It matches the Rfam family "Bacterial small subunit ribosomal RNA", at positions 28 to 507 of the family's 1533-position model. The record is from RNAcentral.
GAUGAACGCUGGCGGCGUGCCUAAUACAUGCAAGUAGAACGCUGAAGGAGGAGCUUGCUCUUCUGGAUGAGUUGCGAACGGGUGAGUAACGCGUAGGUAACCUGCCUGGUAGCGGGGGAUAACUAUUGGAAACGAUAGCUAAUACCGCAUGACAACAGUUAUUGCAUGAUAACUGUUUAAAAGGGGCAACUGCUCCACUACCAGAUGGACCUGCGUUGUAUUAGCUAGUUGGUGAGGUAACGGCUCACCAAGGCGACGAUACAUAGCCGACCUGCGAGGGUGGUCGGCCACACUGGGACUGAGACACGGCCCAGACUCCUACGGGAGGCAGCAGUAGGGAAUCUUCGGCCAUGGACGGAAGUCUGACCGAGCAACGCCGCGUGAGUGAAGAAGGUUUUCGGAUCGUAAAGCUCUGUUGUAAGAGAAGAACGAGUGUGAGAGUGGAAAGUUCACACUGUGACGGUAUCUUACCAGAAAGGGACGGCUAACUACGUG